This 2756-nucleotide long non-coding RNA is filed under the name Homo sapiens (human). Its description in RNAcentral is "HSALNT0339414". The record is from RNAcentral. Lineage: Eukaryota; Metazoa; Chordata; Mammalia; Primates; Hominidae.
AGAAGAAAAGCCACUGGGUGCUUAAAACAUGGGUGGAGAUUUCUUAGUGUGUAUUGAUUGUUUAUGAAAUGUCAAAAUACUACUAAAGUGUAUGAGAAGAAAAUAAAAGCUACUAGCAUUUGAGGACACAUUUACAUGACAGAUCUUACGAGCGUAUUUCCUGGAAAUGUUUCACUGAUUGAUUUCAUCACUCAUUUAUUUAUUGCAACACUUAUUCAAUACUUUACAUAAGUUAAAUUGAGGAGAUUCAAAGAGGAGCUUUGUUCUUUGGCCUAAUGGAACCAAUACAGUGCUUCCUUGUGCCCCAGUGCUUCAGAGUUAUUAGUGAACAUAGUUCCUUCCAUUUGUACUUUAGCCCCUCUCUUAAUUUUCAGAAAUGAAUCCAGGCAGUAAACAAGGCUGACUAACAGAUAGCAGGAUGCACUCACAAUUGAGAUACUGUUAUUGAGCCAAUUUCCCUGUCUGACACACCCUUCUCUUAGAAGGAUGUCUUUCUGUGGCUCCUACAUGAAACAAGUAAAAUGAUUCCCAACAGGCUCUUCUACCAGGGUACAAAUCACACCCAAACAUGAUGGCAUUGGGCAAAGCUUAGGCUCCAACAGAGAUUUUCUAUUAAAGUUAGAUUGAGUUCAGGUUGGGAAGCAUAUCCUCUGUCAAGCCAAGGAGUGGCUUGGAUUUUAUCUCGUAGGAAAUAGGAAUAGGUUCUUUGGAAAAACUGAAGGAUGAAUAGGACUUGGGUGGAUAAUUGAAUGGGUUCUUGGGUGAAUGAACUGAUUGAAACGUGAUUAUGGAAAAAUGUAGCAUUAAAUAUGUGCUUUUCCUGAGAAAUUUUAAAUUGGUUUAAAAUUAGCUAAGCAAUGACCUUGGAAUAAUGGAGCUUAGUUCAAAGCUACAAUUCACAAUUGUUGUCAACUCUUCACUUUAAAAAGUGAAUAUUGUUCAGAUGUGCAAAAGGGUUACACAAGAGUCCCAAAGAAGUCACAGGCCAGAAGUGUAGCUGAUGGGUGAUAGGAAAACCAGGUCUGUAGAAAAAUCUCCCUGUUCAUUACCAUCCUCCUGAGUUUCUCCUUCCAACAUCCUUAUGUUCUACUUGCGUAUUCUUAUCAUUUUGCAACCUCUUUACUUCUGGGCAAAUAGGAAAACAGGCAGCUUUAUCUUUGGAGUUGACUCUGAGGAAAAUUCUUCUGGUGUCAAAGGAAUGAUUUGGAUUAAAAAUCUGAGGCUGAAACAAUUUUAAUGUUUAUUUAAAAUGAACUUUUCCACUAAACCUGUCUCAUCAGAUAACAACACUAAAUAUCAUAGCUUACACACACAAAUUUUAUUUGGCCACAGGAAGAAAAUAGGGAAUAGAAUUCAGUAAUCAGAAUAUACCACACUGAUGAUACUAUCUUAUUACCAUCAGUAAUAAAAUCAAAAUAUUACUCAUUCUUCUUCCUCAGAAUUCACUCACAGGGUUUGCAUAGAUCCUAUGAGUCAUGGUAGCAUCUUCAGCCCUGGGAAACUGCCCUCUCUUUUUUGGCUCCACCUCCACCACCCCAAAAACCACACGGAGAGAUGGAGAAGGGCUUGAUUAAGAAGCUGCGAAGUUGCCUUAACAUUGUUGUUUUCAAACUCACACUGCAGACACAAUGCUUUGCGAACUUAAGAUAAUCAUAUUUCAGAUAGAGAUACCAGAGGCCGUUUCUCCAGCAGGUUCCUGCAGUGGUUUUUAUGUCUUGAAAUUCCAAUUCAAGAUUGGUUUGAGCCCUGGAAACUGAGAUAUUAGAACAAUCAGAUUAUCUCAUCAAAACAGAUUGAGCAUACUUUUAUAACUCACACUGAUCUUGGCUACAAAAGGAUUUUGGUAGAUGAUUAAACUUUAGAAAGUGAAAGUAAUAUUUAGUUUGAUCUUUAUAUGAGGCAAUAAUUCUAUCAAUUAUAAGGAUAUUUCUUCUGAAAUUUUCACUUUAUCUUUAGUACCUAUUUUUCCCCAGUAUUUUUACCCAUAUUUCCCUAAAAUUGAGAUACCUGGGCUAAAACUGUUUUUUUUCCUUUAUAUGUUUCUAUGCUUCGCUGUCAAAUUAGGUUCAACUGAUAAGAAAAAGCAAGUAUAAGAGCGAGCUUUUGUUUCCUUAGCUGUACUCCUUGAACCCACUUCUCCAUCACCUUCCCACCACCCACCCCAUUGACAAAGAUAUUUCAGAAAAACUUUGAAGACUGUAGAUCUGAUAUGAAGUAGUCCACCAUUUAAAGCAUUCUCCAGGGUGCAAUAUCGCCCCUAACAAUGGGUCAGUCUUUAGGGGUGGGGGGAGCAUCGGUUCUCAGCAGGCAAAAUCUUAGCUAUUAAAUUGGCUGUGGCCCUCCAGAAAAUUUAUGUACUACAUAUCUGUACAUAUACAAAUAUGUGAUGUAUCUAGGGUAAUAAAAUUUCAUAGGAGCUUUGGAUAAGGGAGAAAUAGCCUAAAAAGAUGCUGUAAGGAAGCAGUAGUAAAACUUAAAAAGGUUAACAAACACUGCUUUAAAGACUAUAGCCUCCUAUUCUCUUCUAAAAGAAUUGCAUAGAAACAGUCCCUUUCCUAGUGCCCGCUCAUGAGCUCCUUUAUUUUGUCCUUCUCUGUUUUCCUAAUACUGUGUUUCUAUAUGGUUUGAAUAUCAUGUAUUCAGAUUUGACAAUUUUCUUCUGCCUGCAAGCAUUUUUAGUAGUACUUCUGUCUUUGCUAAACUAAUUUGUAAUUAGGAAAGAACCCAUCUAGAGUGUAUGCUUGUUAAACAUCCUG